Molecule: non-coding RNA, 90 nt
Filed under: Palpitomonas bilix
Lineage: Eukaryota
Source: RNAcentral
AAACCAAAGGAAAGAAAAAAAGAACAAGAAAAAGGAGAAAAGGAAAAUCAAACAGCAACCUCUUGUCUAAUCUUUCUUUCUUUCUUUCUU